Molecule: transfer RNA, 55 nt
Filed under: Romanomermis nielseni
Lineage: Eukaryota; Metazoa; Nematoda; Enoplea; Mermithida; Mermithidae
Description: tRNA-Leu
Source: RNAcentral
AAGAUUUUAGUAUAAAUUAAAUACUUUAGUUUUAAAAACUAAAAAUUUUAUCUUA